UAUGGUAAUCCAGCCGCCGCGGUAAUACGUAGGGGGCAAGCGUUAUCCGGAAUUACUGGGUGUAAAGGGUGCGUAGGUGGUAUGGCAAGUCAGAAGUGAAAACCCAGGGCUUAACUCUGGGACUGCUUUUGAAACUGUCAGACUGGAGUGCAGGAGAGGUAAGCGGAAUUCCUAGUGUAGCGGUGAAAUGCGUAGAUAUUAGGAGGAACAUCAGUGGCGAAGGCGGCUUACUGGACUGAAACUGACACUGAGGCACGAAAGCGUGGGGAGCAAACAGG
Molecule: ribosomal RNA, 278 nt
Filed under: Anaerostipes hadrus ATCC 29173 = JCM 17467
Lineage: Bacteria; Bacillati; Bacillota; Clostridia; Lachnospirales; Lachnospiraceae
Description: Anaerostipes hadrus DSM 3319 partial 16S ribosomal RNA
Rfam family: Bacterial small subunit ribosomal RNA
Source: RNAcentral